This 1018-nucleotide long non-coding RNA is filed under the name Equus asinus (donkey). RNAcentral describes it as "lncRNA (ENSEASG00005030184.1)". Lineage: Eukaryota; Metazoa; Chordata; Mammalia; Perissodactyla; Equidae. The record is from RNAcentral.
GUCAGAUCUAGCCGGCCUUAUCCCGCAUCGGAAGCAUUUUAGGAAGGGUCUUUAUCACCCACUGCGCUCCCGGCAGCCUCCGUGCCGUUUCAUCUACGACUAAUGCGUUUUCUCCGCGAGAAGGCAGGGUCACUCAUGGUGGACAGGUUUCAUCAGAGCUUCCCGACUAAGAUAGACUAAGAAGAGCUCCCGGCCACCCACUUCUGAAUAAAUUGGUCAUGAAAACCCUGUGAAUAGCAGCAGAGCAUCAUCUGAUGCAGCACCGGAAGCCACAGUAGUCCCGCCUUCGCCACGGUUUCACUUUCCACGGUUUCAGUUACCUGCCGUCAACCAUGGUCCGAAAAUAUUAAAUGGAAUAGCCCAGAAAUAAGCAAUUCAUUUGUGUGUGAAUAUCCACUAUCAUUUCUCUUGGAUAAAUGCCUAGCAGUGGAAUUGCUGAGUCAUACACUGAGAGUAGUGAGAGAAUACAGAGCAGACAAGAAAAAACAGCAGAUGCUUGUUGUUAAGAAUCUGACUGACCUGAACUUACUCUUGCAAUGGCCAGUGAAGAUCGCCAGGUUUUCGGGACAAAGCCAGGAACUGGAGAAGCCUCCAGGAUGGAGCUGGGACCUUGGGGGAAGCAGGAGCAGAAGAACCAGGUGAUGUGAAAUCAUUCAGAAGCAUCCAAAAGAAGCCUGGUCCCGCUCAGAGGCUGAGGGAACUCCAGACACGUUGGGCACGAGGGGCUGGGCUGACUAGGGUCCGAAGGCCAAAGCCAAGACAGCCAGGAGGAGUCCCAGCCACAGUUAGAGGGAACGUGCAUUGUAGAGCUGGCUGCUGCAAAUAGGAAAAGGAAGAGCGACAGAGGAGGCUGGACGACGUGAAUGCACAGUGCCAAGUAGGGCAGAAACGUGGAACCCAGACAAGCAAUUACAGCUAUCUACUGCAACAGCUUGUCAUGGCUGUCUUAGUGGGAAACGUCUUGAAUAAAAUCCUAGAGCCAUUCCGAGGAAUCUGAGUUGGAAAGGGUCCUAUGGAG